Molecule: transfer RNA, 71 nt
Filed under: Loxodonta africana (African savanna elephant)
Lineage: Eukaryota; Metazoa; Chordata; Mammalia; Proboscidea; Elephantidae
Rfam family: tRNA
About the family: Transfer RNA (tRNA) molecules are approximately 80 nucleotides in length. Their secondary structure includes four short double-helical elements and three loops (D, anti-codon, and T loops).
Source: Rfam by way of RNAcentral
GUAAUGGUGCUUCAGUGGCAGAAUUCUCGCCUUCCGUGUGAGAGACCCAGGUUUGAUUCCUGGCCAACGCA